Molecule: transfer RNA, 67 nt
Filed under: Escherichia coli
Lineage: Bacteria; Pseudomonadati; Pseudomonadota; Gammaproteobacteria; Enterobacterales; Enterobacteriaceae
Also listed under: 10 other names
Description: tRNA-Val
Rfam family: tRNA
About the family: Transfer RNA (tRNA) molecules are approximately 80 nucleotides in length. Their secondary structure includes four short double-helical elements and three loops (D, anti-codon, and T loops). Further hydrogen bonds mediate the characteristic L-shaped molecular structure. tRNAs have two regions of fundamental functional importance: the anti-codon, which is responsible for specific mRNA codon recognition, and the 3' end, to which the tRNAs corresponding amino acid is attached (by aminoacyl-tRNA synthetases). tRNAs cope with the degeneracy of the genetic code in two manners: having more than one tRNA (with a specific anti-codon) for a particular amino acid; and 'wobble' base-pairing, i.e. permitting non-standard base-pairing at the 3rd anti-codon position.
Source: RNAcentral
GGGUGAUUAGCUCAGCUGGGAGAGCACCUCCCUUACAAGGAGGGGGUCGGCGGUUCGAUCCCGUCAU